RNAcentral lists this small nuclear RNA (158 nucleotides) under Salvator merianae (Argentine black and white tegu). Its description in RNAcentral is "U1 spliceosomal RNA (ENSSMRG00000018048.1)". It matches the Rfam family "U1 spliceosomal RNA". From Rfam's summary of the family: U1 is a small nuclear RNA (snRNA) component of the spliceosome (involved in pre-mRNA splicing). Its 5' end forms complementary base pairs with the 5' splice junction, thus defining the 5' donor site of an intron. The record is from RNAcentral. Lineage: Eukaryota; Metazoa; Chordata; Lepidosauria; Squamata; Teiidae.
AUUANAAUCCCACUGAGGAUAGGUCACAAAGAAGGGUUUCCCAGGAUGAGACCCAGCCAUUGCACUCUGGCUGCGGCGACCCCUACAGUUUCCCCAAAUGUGGGAAACUCAACUGCAUAAUUUGUGGUAAUAUGGAACUGAGUGCGUGCUUUCCCCUA